Molecule: non-coding RNA, 199 nt
Organism: Gillisia limnaea DSM 15749
Lineage: Bacteria; Pseudomonadati; Bacteroidota; Flavobacteriia; Flavobacteriales; Flavobacteriaceae
Source: Rfam
GUAACCGUGAGGUUAUAUCUGAAGAAAGCGAGACUACAAAACUCGGUACUGACCCUUCGGCUACGCUCAGGAUAAACCAAGCAGAAACCGUAUACAGAGGCAUAUUUACUUGGGUAAGCAAACACAUCAUUGUAACGCCCUAAGAACACAAAAAGGGUAAGUAUGUAGAUACGGCAGGGAUUGAGUGAAAGAAGAUGUU